Molecule: ribosomal RNA, 374 nt
Filed under: uncultured organism
Description: partial 16S ribosomal RNA
Rfam family: Bacterial small subunit ribosomal RNA
Source: RNAcentral
GUAGGUGGCAAGCGUUAUCCGGAAUUAUUGGGCGUAAAGCGCGCGCAGGCGGUUCUUUAAGUCUGAUGUGAAAGCCCACGGCUCAACCGUGGAGGGUCAUUGGAAACUGGAGAACUUGAGUACAGAAGAGGAAAGCGGAAUUCCACGUGUAGCGGUGAAAUGCGUAGAGAUGUGGAGGAACACCAGUGGCGAAGGCGGCUUUCUGGUCUGUAACUGGCGCUGAGGCGCGAAAGCGUGGGGAGCAAACAGGAUUAGAUACCCUGGUAGUCCACGCCGUAAACGAUGAGUGCUAAGUGUUAGGGGGUUUUCCGCCCCCCUUAGUGCUGCAGCUAACGCAUUAAGCACUCCGCCCUGGGAGUACGGCCGCAAGGCUG